Molecule: non-coding RNA, 1167 nt
Filed under: Plasmodium falciparum Dd2
Lineage: Eukaryota; Apicomplexa; Aconoidasida; Haemosporida; Plasmodiidae
Description: Eukaryotic small subunit ribosomal RNA
Rfam family: Eukaryotic small subunit ribosomal RNA
Source: Rfam by way of RNAcentral
CAUAUGUAUGUAUCAUUAAGGUAUGUAUUUGUUAGAUAUAAGAAUAAAAUAAAUAUAAUUGAAUUAUAACAAAGAAGAAACACAUAAAAUAUGUGUAUUAUCAAUCGAGUAUCUGACCUAUCAGCUUUUGAUGUUAGGGUAUUGACCUAACAUGGCUAUGACGGGUAACGGGGAAUUAGAGUUCGAUUCCGGAGAGGGAGCCUGAGAAAUAGCUACCACAUCUAAGGAAGGCAGCAGGCGCGUAAAUUACCCAAUUCUAAAAAAGAGAGGUAGUGACAAGAAAUAACAAUACAAUAUCGAAAAAUGAUUUUGUAAUUGGAAUGAUAGGAAUUUACAAGGUUCCUAGAGAAACAAUUGGAGGGCAAGUCUGGUGCCAGCAGCCGCGGUAAUUCCAGCUCCAAUAGCAUAUAUUAAAAUUGUUGCAGUUAAAACGUUCGUAGUUGAAUAUUAAAGAAUCCGAUGUUUCAUUUAAACUGGUUUGGGAAAACCAAAUAUAUUAUAUAUUUUGCUUUGUUCAAAAUAAGGUUUUCUAAUAAAUUAUGUUUUUAUCAGAUAUGACAGAAUCUUUUUUAAAAUCUCUUCAAUAUGCUUUUAUUGCUUUUGAGAGGUUUUGUUACUUUGAGUAAAAUUAAGUGUUCAUAACAGACGGGUAGUCAUGAUUGAGUUCAUUGUGUUUGAAUACUACAGCAUGGAAUAACAAAUAUGAAUAAGCUAAUUAUUUUUUUUUUUUCAUUAUUUUUUUUGAUAUUCUUAUUAGCUUAGUUACGAUUAAUAGGAGUAGCUUUGGGGGCAUUCGUAUUCAGAUGUCAGAGGUGAAAUUCUAAGAUUUUCUGGAGACGGACUACUGCGAAACAUUUGCCUAAUCUAUUUCCAUUAAUCAAGAACGAAAGUUAAGGGAGUGAAGACGAUCAGAUACCGUCGUAAUCUUAACCAUAAACUAUACCGACUAGGUGUUGGAUGAAUAUAAAAAAUAUAUAAAUAUGUAGCAUUUCUUAGGGAAUGUUGAUUUUAUAUUAGAAUUGCUUCCUUCAGUACCUUAUGAGAAAUCAAAGUCUUUGGGUUCUGGGGCGAGUAUUCGCGCAAGGGAGAAAGUUAAAAGAAUUGACGGAAGGCACCACCAGCGUGGAGCUGCGCUUAUUUGACUCAACACGGGAAACUCACUAGUUA